This 460-nucleotide ribosomal RNA is filed under the name uncultured bacterium. Its description in RNAcentral is "partial 16S ribosomal RNA". It matches the Rfam family "Bacterial small subunit ribosomal RNA", at positions 338 to 795 of the family's 1533-position model. The record is from RNAcentral.
CCUACGGGUGGCAGCAGUGAGGAAUAUUGGUCAAUGGACGAGAGCCUGAACCAGCCAAAUAGCGUGAAGGAUGACUGCCCUAUGGGUUGUAAACUUCUUUUAUAUGGGAAUAAAAUGUUCCACGUGUGGGAUUUUGUAUGUACCAUAUGAAUAAGGAUCGGCUAACUCCGUGCCAGCAGCCGCGGUAAUACGGAGGAUCCGAGCGUUAUCCGGAUUUAUUGGGUUUAAAGGGAGCGUAGGUGGCUUGUUAAGUCAGUUGUGAAAGUUUGCGGCUCAACCGUAAAAUUGCAGUUGAAACUGGCAGUCUUGAGUACAGUAGAGGUGGGCGGAAUUCGUGGUGUAGCGGUGAAAUGCUUAGAUAUCACGAAGAACUCCGAUUGCGAAGGCAGCUCACUGGACUGCAACUGACACUGAGGCUCGAAAGUGUGGGUAUCAAACAGGAUUAGAUACCCGGGUAGUC